This 440-nucleotide ribosomal RNA is filed under the name uncultured bacterium. Its description in RNAcentral is "partial 16S ribosomal RNA". It matches the Rfam family "Bacterial small subunit ribosomal RNA", at positions 338 to 795 of the family's 1533-position model. The record is from RNAcentral.
CCUACGGGAGGCUGCAGUGGGGAAUAUUGCACAAUGGGGGAAACCCUGAUGCAGCGACGCCGCGUGAGUGAAGACGUAAUUCGUUAUGUAAAGCUCUAUCAGCAGGGAAGAAAAUUACGGUACCUGAGGGAGAAGCCCAGGCCAACUACGUGCCAGCAGCCGCGGUAAUACGUAGGGUGCCAGGGUUAUCCGGAUUUACUGGGUGGAAAGGGGGCGUAGACGGGAGGGCAAGUCAGGAGUGAAAGGCGGGGGCUCAACCUGCGGACUGCAGUUGAAACUGUACGGCUGGAGUGAAGGAGAGGUAGGUGGAAUGCCUAGUGUAGCGGUGAAAUGCGUAGAUAUUAGGAGGAACACCAGUGGCGAAGGCGGCUUACUGGACUGUAACUGACGCUGAGGCUCGAAAGCGUGGGGAGCAAACAGGAUUAGAUACCCGAGUAGUC